RNAcentral lists this small RNA (29 nucleotides) under Bombyx mori (domestic silkworm). RNAcentral describes it as "ovarian small RNA-34641". Lineage: Eukaryota; Metazoa; Arthropoda; Insecta; Lepidoptera; Bombycidae. The record is from RNAcentral.
UGGAUAUAGGCUUUCCCCAAUGCCUUCCA